ACGGCCCAGACUCCUACGGGAGGCAGCAGUGGGGAAUAUUGCACAAUGGGCGAAAGCCUGAUGCAGCGACGCCGCGUGAGGGAUGACGGCCUUCGGGUUGUAAACCUCUUUCAGCAGGGAAGAAGCGCAAGUGACGGUACCUGCAGAAGAAGCACCGGCUAACUACGUGCCAGCAGCCGCGGUAAUACGUAGGGUGCGAGCGUUGUCCGGAAUUAUUGGGCGUAAAGAGCUCGUAGGCGGCCUGUCGCGUCGGAUGUGAAAGCCCGGGGCUCAACCCCGGGUCUGCAUUCGAUACGGGCAGGCUGGAGUGUGGUAGGGGAGAUCGGAAUUCCUGGUGUAGCGGUGAAAUGCGCAGAUAUCAGGAGGAACACCGGUGGYGAAGGYGGAUCUCUGGGCCAUUACUGACGCUGAGGAGCGAAAGCGUGGGGAGCGAACAGGAUUAGAUACCCUGGUAGUCCACGCCGUAAACGUUGGGAACUAGGUGUUGGCGACAUUCCACGUCGUCGGUGCCGCAGCUAACGCAUUAMGUUCCCCGCCUGGGGAGUACGGCCGCAAGGCUAAAACUCAAAGGAA
This 573-nucleotide ribosomal RNA is filed under the name bacterium 2f12710. Its description in RNAcentral is "bacterial SSU rRNA". It matches the Rfam family "Bacterial small subunit ribosomal RNA", at positions 326 to 909 of the family's 1533-position model. The record is from RNAcentral.